This 273-nucleotide ribosomal RNA is filed under the name uncultured bacterium. Its description in RNAcentral is "partial 16S ribosomal RNA". It matches the Rfam family "Bacterial small subunit ribosomal RNA", at positions 524 to 796 of the family's 1533-position model. The record is from RNAcentral.
CACGUAGGAGGCAAGCGUUAUCCGGAUUUACUGGGCGUAAAGCGCGUGCAGGCGGUUCGGCAAGUUGGAUGUGAAAGCUCCUGGCUUAACUAGGAGAGGUCGUUCAAUACUACCGAACUUGAGGGCAUCAGAGGAAGGUGGAAUUCCCGGUGUAGUGGUGAAAUGCGUAGAUAUCGGGAGGAACACCAGUGGCGAAGGCGACCUUCUGGGAUGUUCCUGACGCUCAGACGCGAAGGCUAGGGUAGCAAACGGGAUUAGAUACCCCCGUAGUCC